CAGUAGCCGCGGGAAUACGUAGGUGGCAAGCGUUGUCCGGAAUUAUUGGGCGUAAAGGGCUCGCAGGCGGUUUCUUAAGUCUGAUGUGAAAGCCCCCGGCUCAACCGGGGAGGGUCAUUGGAAACUGGGAAACUUGAGUGCAGAAGAAGAGAGUGGAAUACCACGUGUAGCGGUGAAAUGCGUAGAGAUGUGGAGGAACACCAGUGGCGAAGGCGACUCUCUGGUCUGUAACUGACGCUGAGGAGCGAAAGCGUGGGGAGCGAACAGGGUUAGAUACCCCUGUAGUCCCUGUCUCUUAUAC
Molecule: ribosomal RNA, 301 nt
Filed under: uncultured bacterium
Lineage: Bacteria
Description: partial 16S ribosomal RNA
Rfam family: Bacterial small subunit ribosomal RNA
Source: RNAcentral